GAGGGGGUCAUAAGAUCUGCUAAAUCUUUAACCUGGCACUAACCAUCCAGCCCCCUCU
This 58-nucleotide transfer RNA is filed under the name Sinomicrurus japonicus (Japanese coral snake). RNAcentral describes it as "tRNA-Ser(AGY)". The record is from RNAcentral. Lineage: Eukaryota; Metazoa; Chordata; Lepidosauria; Squamata; Elapidae.